GCUUUGUGUUUGGGUGAUGUGUGUGGCAGCUGGACUGGUGCUUUUAUUCUUGCUCGUUUACAGUGUGCAGUCCCCUUUCCCUCCCAGGGAAGCUGCUGUCCGGUUUGAUCAAGCUUUGGUGCUGAGGUGUGUGUGUGCUCACUGCUCUCUUCUGGCUGAGAUCCUUGCUUUCUAGUUUCUGGGACUAGCUUAGCAGUGGAGUGAGCUGAAGAUCAUGUUUGCCCAAAGCCCACUAGAACAAUGGAGGGAGAGGAACAAGAAAGUAUGGGAAAAUACAGGAAAUACAGGAAAAUACAGGAAAACAUUGAAGAAACUCCAGUGAAGCCGCUUAAUGGCUGAGGAAAGGGCUGAGUAAAAGAUGAAAGAAAAUUACUUAAGAACACAAAGUGGUUUUGGGCCCGUGUUUUACUGCCUCUGAAAGAAGAGACCUGCAAGCAACAGGGAGCAGCAGAAGAGAUGACAGCCCUGCCAAAAUUCGUACCAUAUUGGUAAGGCCAGAGAAAUGCACACAGAUGCUGUUAACCAUCAGGGCUGCCUGCGUUUGAGGCAAAAUGGCUUUCCGUGAAGGAUACCGUGUCUGUCACAAGCUGGAGCCGCCCUUCAGCGUGGUGGUGCAAACUGGGAACAGAGAAGAAUGCCUCAUGUUUGAGUCUGGAGCUGUGGCUGUCCUCUGCAAGUCGAUCUGUUUUGAUAACUACUGUGUUAGAAAGGUGCCAGGCUUGUCACAGACGUUGUGUGAGCCAUUUC
Molecule: long non-coding RNA, 747 nt
Organism: Catharus ustulatus (Swainson's thrush)
Lineage: Eukaryota; Metazoa; Chordata; Aves; Passeriformes; Turdidae
Exons: 3
Source: RefSeq, a predicted model, not a curated record